CCUGUUUCAUAUACAGGCCUGUAUAUGAAACAGGCCUGUUUCAUAUGAAACAGGCCUGUUUCAUAUACAGGCCUGUAUAAGAAACAG
RNAcentral lists this microRNA precursor (87 nucleotides) under Xyrichtys novacula (pearly razorfish). Lineage: Eukaryota; Metazoa; Chordata; Actinopteri; Labriformes; Labridae. The record is from RNAcentral.